This 464-nucleotide ribosomal RNA is filed under the name Trigonopterus hasenpuschi. Its description in RNAcentral is "SSU rRNA". It matches the Rfam family "Eukaryotic small subunit ribosomal RNA", at positions 23 to 466 of the family's 1831-position model. Lineage: Eukaryota; Metazoa; Arthropoda; Insecta; Coleoptera; Curculionidae. The record is from RNAcentral.
GUCAUAUGCUUGUCUCAAAGAUUAAGCCAUGCAUGUCUCAGUACAAGCCAAAUUAAGGUGAAACCGCGAAAGGCUCAUUAAAUCAGUUAUGGUUCCUUAGAUCGUACCCACAAUUACUUGGAUAACUGUGGUAAUUCUAGAGCUAAUACAUGCAAACAGAGCUCCGACCGGAGACGGAAGGAGUGCUUUUAUUAGAUCAAAACCAAUCGGUGGCGGGUUCGCUCGUCAUCGUACAACUUGGUGACUCUGAAUAACUUUACGCUGAUCGCACGGUCAUCGCACCGGCGACGCAUCUUUCAAAUGUCUGCCUUAUCAACUGUCGAUGGUAGGUUCUGCGCCUACCAUGGUUGUAACGGGUAACGGGGAAUCAGGGUUCGAUUCCGGAGAGGGAGCCUGAGAAACGGCUACCACAUCCAAGGAAGGCAGCAGGCGCGCAAAUUACCCACUCCCGGCACGGGGAGGUA